CUCAUUCUCUCUCUUGCCUACUGUGUUGUAAGAUGUGCCUUUCGCCUUCUGCCGUGAUUGUGAGGCCUCUCCAGCCACGUGGAAGUAAAGUUUAUUUAAGAUUACAUGGCUGGGCGCUGUGGCUCAUGCCUGUAACCUCAGCACUUUGGAAGGCCGAGGCGGGUGGACCACCUGAGGUCGGGAGUUGGAGACCAGCCUGACCAACAUGGAGAAACCCCGUCUCUACUAAAAAUACCAUAUUAGCCGGCCAUCGUGGAUCAUGCCUGUAAUCCCAACUACUCGGGAGGCUGAGGCAGGGGAAUCGCUUGAACCUGGGGGGCAGAGAAUACGGUGAGCUGAGAUCGCGCCACUGCACUCCAGCCUGGGCAACAAGAGCAAAACUCCGUCUCAAAAAAAAAAAAAAAAAUUACACUUAGUUUUCACUGAUCUGUGAAAAAGAAUAUGUAGCUGUUAUCAUAAUAAAUAUCUUAUAUAACAAUUUUAAAUAUUGCUGUAAUGAAAAUACUUCUUAAUAUAUGAAAUUUUGCUGAAUAUGUAUGCUAUAUUUUGACAAAUUACCAAAUGUUAAUCAAAAACAGAUAUUUGAUAUUUUUAAAUGAUAAACUUUUUAGAAUAUAUGGCUCUUUAAGUCUUGUU
This 636-nucleotide long non-coding RNA is filed under the name Homo sapiens (human). Its description in RNAcentral is "HSALNT0374431". Lineage: Eukaryota; Metazoa; Chordata; Mammalia; Primates; Hominidae. The record is from RNAcentral.